Long non-coding RNA from Drosophila novamexicana, 707 nucleotides. RefSeq lists it as uncharacterized. The record is from RefSeq and is a predicted model, not a curated record. The transcript has 3 exons. Lineage: Eukaryota; Metazoa; Arthropoda; Insecta; Diptera; Drosophilidae.
CCAUAAUUCUACAAGGGUAUUUACCACUCGACUUGCUGAAUAUUGUUAUAUACUUAUUUAGUUAACUUUUAUAUUGGCCCACUCAUUGUCAGCUCUGUAUGGAUACAAACUCCUCGUACCAUUGUUCAGUGCAAAUUAAAAAUUGUUCACAUCGCCUCGGCAGUUUAUUAUAUGGCGCUGUGGUCUGUGGUCUGGCUCCGAAUCGAGAACCGUGUCCGGUUCUUUUAACUGCCCAAUCAUAAUUCACUAGCCAGCCAGACGAGUCUCCCAUGAAGCGAAAGGAUAAUCGUGAAAUGCGUGCGCGACCUCCCAAAAAAAAGUAGCAGGAUGCCCCUGCGUCUGGGGCAGCAACAAUAAACAAAAUGCCUCUGAAGUCAGCGUGCUGUUAAUGAGCAGCCUGAUGGGUGGAUGCAUGCGGUAGAGGCUGUUGUGCGGAGGGGGCUGGUAACCGUGGAGGGGCAGCCGCUGUUGACGUUAAUUGACCGCAACCAUUUUUUUGUUGCAGCGUGCAGUAAAUUUUAAUGAAAUUGUUGCCGUGCACUGCGAAAUGUUGUUGUUGUUGUGGUUGUUGCUGGGGCGUGGCCAGCGCAUUGCUGCAUCUGCAUCUGGAUCUGCAUCAGCUCAAAGUGCUGAUGACACGGCUGUCAGCGACACUUUGCGCCGCUUGUUGCAUAAAAACAUUUACAAAAUAAAAUAAAAGUGUAUAU